This 65-nucleotide transfer RNA is filed under the name Rhopalopsole bulbifera. Its description in RNAcentral is "tRNA-Ala". The record is from RNAcentral. Lineage: Eukaryota; Metazoa; Arthropoda; Insecta; Plecoptera; Leuctridae.
AGGGUAGUAGUUAAUUAUAACAUUUGGGUUGCAUUCAAAAAGUAUUGAAAUAUCAAUCUACCUUA